This 76-nucleotide microRNA precursor is filed under the name Myotis brandtii (Brandt's bat). Its description in RNAcentral is "mir-9229 microRNA precursor family". It matches the Rfam family "mir-9229 microRNA precursor family". The record is from Rfam by way of RNAcentral. Lineage: Eukaryota; Metazoa; Chordata; Mammalia; Chiroptera; Vespertilionidae.
GAGACACCCUUAUGGGGCAGGACUUGCUUCAGUGGGGCUUUGGUGCUCACUGAGUCUGCUCCUUGAGUGUGAAUCU